Molecule: ribosomal RNA, 447 nt
Filed under: uncultured bacterium
Lineage: Bacteria
Description: bacterial SSU rRNA
Rfam family: Bacterial small subunit ribosomal RNA
Source: RNAcentral
UCCAGACUCCUACGGGAGGCAGCAGUGGGGGAUAUUGCACAAUGGGGGGAACCCUGAUGCAGCGACGCCGCGUGGGUGAAGGAGCGUUUCGGCGCGUAAAGCCCUAUCGGCAGGGAAGAAGGAGGACGGUACCUGACUAAGAAGCCCCGGCUAACUACGUGCCAGCAGCCGCGGUAAUACGUAGGGGGCAAGCGUUAUCCGGAUUUACUGGGUGUAAAGGGGGCGCAGACGGCAGCGCAAGCCAGGAGUGAAAGCCCGGGGCCCAACCCCGGGACUGCUCUUGGAACUGCGCGGCUGGAGUGCAGGAGGGGCAGGCGGAAUUCCUGGUGUAGCGGUGAAAUGCGUAGAUAUCAGGAGGAACACCGGUGGCGAAGGCGGCCUGCUGGACUGCAACUGACGUUGAGGCCCGAAAGCGUGGGGAGCAAACAGGAUUAGAUACCCUCGUAC